UUUACAAUGGAGAGUUUGAUCCUGGCUCAGGAUGAACGCUAGCGGCAGGCCUAAUACAUGCAAGUCGAGGGGCAGCACGGGUAGCAAUACUGGGUGGCG
RNAcentral lists this ribosomal RNA (99 nucleotides) under [Flexibacter] sp. ATCC 35208. RNAcentral's name for it is "partial 16S ribosomal RNA". It matches the Rfam family "Bacterial small subunit ribosomal RNA", at positions 1 to 93 of the family's 1533-position model. The record is from RNAcentral. Lineage: Bacteria; Pseudomonadati; Bacteroidota; Chitinophagia; Chitinophagales; Chitinophagaceae.